RNAcentral lists this ribosomal RNA (253 nucleotides) under uncultured bacterium. RNAcentral describes it as "partial 16S ribosomal RNA". It matches the Rfam family "Bacterial small subunit ribosomal RNA", at positions 524 to 776 of the family's 1533-position model. The record is from RNAcentral.
UACAGAGGGUGCGAGCGUUGUCCGGAAUCACUGGGCGUAAAGGGUGCGUAGGUGGCCAGGUAAGCGUGUGGUGAAAGUCCGGGGCUCAACCCCGGAUCUGCCGUGCGAACUGCCUAGCUUGAGCAAUGUAGAGGCAGGUGGAAUUUCGGGUGUAGCGGUGGAAUGCGUAGAUAUCCGAAAGAACACCAGUGGCGAAGGCGGCCUGCUGGGCAUUUGCUGACACUGAGGCACGACAGCGUGGGGAGCAAACAGG